GAUGAACGCUGGCGGCGUGCCUAAUACAUGCAAGUCGAGCGAACGGACGAGAAGCUUGCUUCUCUGAUGUUAGCGGCGGACGGGUGAGUAACACGUGGAUAACCUACCUAUAAGACUGGGAUAACUUCGGGAAACCGGAGCUAAUACCGGAUAAUAUUUUGAACCGCAUGGUUCAAUAGUGAAAGACGGUCUUGCUGUCACUUAUAGAUUGAUCCGCGCUGCAUUAGCUAGUUGGUAAGGUAACGGCUUACCAAGGCAACGAUGCAUAGCCGACCUGAGAGGGUGAUCGGCCACACUGGAACUGAGACACGGUCCAGACUCCUACGGGAGGCAGCAGUAGGGAAUCUUCCGCAAUGGGCGAAAGCCUGACGGAGCAACGCCGCGUGAGUGAUGAAGGUCUUCGGAUCGUAAAACUCUGUUAUUAGGGAAGAACAUAUGUGUAAGUAACUGUGCACAUCUUGACGGUACCUAAUCAGAAAGCCACGGCUAACUACGUG
RNAcentral lists this ribosomal RNA (497 nucleotides) under uncultured bacterium. RNAcentral's name for it is "partial 16S ribosomal RNA". It matches the Rfam family "Bacterial small subunit ribosomal RNA", at positions 28 to 507 of the family's 1533-position model. The record is from RNAcentral.